RNAcentral lists this ribosomal RNA (304 nucleotides) under uncultured bacterium. RNAcentral describes it as "partial 16S ribosomal RNA". It matches the Rfam family "Bacterial small subunit ribosomal RNA", at positions 506 to 807 of the family's 1533-position model. The record is from RNAcentral.
CAGCAGCCGCCGCGGUAAUACGAAGGGUGCAAGCGUUAAUCGGAAUUACUGGGCGUAAAGCGUGCGUAGGCGGUGAGUUAAGUCUGCUGUGAAAUCCCCGGGCUCAACCUGGGAAUGGCAGUGGAUACUGGCAAGCUAGAGUGUGUCAGAGGAUGGUGGAAUUCCCGGUGUAGCGGUGAAAUGCGUAGAGAUCGGGAGGAACAUCAGUGGCGAAGGCGGCCAUCUGGGACAACACUGACGCUGAGGCACGAAAGCGUGGGGAGCAAACAGGAUUAGAUACCCCCGUAGUCCCUGUCUCUUAUAC